RNAcentral lists this ribosomal RNA (472 nucleotides) under uncultured bacterium. RNAcentral describes it as "bacterial SSU rRNA". It matches the Rfam family "Bacterial small subunit ribosomal RNA", at positions 355 to 825 of the family's 1533-position model. The record is from RNAcentral.
UGGGGAAUAUUGGACAAUGGGCGAAAGCCUGAUCCAGCCAUGCCGCGUGUGUGAAGAAGGUCUUCGGAUUGUAAAGCACUUUAAGUUGGGAGGAAGGGCAGUAACCUAAUACGUUUCUGUCUUGACGUUACCGACAGAAUAAGCACCGGCUAACUCUGUGCCAGCAGCCGCGGUAAUACAGAGGGUGCAAGCGUUAAUCGGAAUUACUGGGCGUAAAGCGCGCGUAGGUGGUUUGUUAAGUUGGAUGUGAAAUCCCCGGGCUCAACCUGGGAACUGCAUUCAAAACUGACAAGCUAGAGUAUGGUAGAGGGUGGUGGAAUUUCCUGUGUAGCGGUGAAAUGCGUAGAUAUAGGAAGGAACACCAGUGGCGAAGGCGACCACCUGGACUGAUACUGACACUGAGGUGCGAAAGCGUGGGGAGCAAACAGGAUUAGAUACCCCAGUAGUCCCUGAGCGGGCUGGCAAGGCGCAU